UAAACUACACGACUUAUCAAUUUUAAUAAAAAUAAUGACCGAUGAUUCGAUAUAAAGAGCGUUCGCCCAGAAGUUGAUUCACAACAAAACUAGUUUGAUGAUCUGAGAAACCAGAUUACUCAAGAUGAAUUUCAAAUUUCUUGCCUUACUGCUUCUUAUUGCCCCUGUUGACAAUCGAUAGUGGCGAUGCUUGGGGACGUCGUAGAAGAAGAGGUAGAAGAGGAGGUUGGUUCCGCAGAGUAGUCCGGGGGUGGGACGAUUUGUUAAAAAAGGGAUCAACUUUUACAAAAAAAAAACAAGUCUGUUAUUCAUAAAGUAGGAGGCGCCAUUUUUAAACUGUUUGGAGACAACGAAGCUUUGGAAAAUUUGGCAACUUUGAAAAAUCAGGAUCUCGAAUCGUAUGGAGAUUUCAUGGACAACCUAAAAUCUGCUUUGGAAGAAAAUUAUCCCGAUCAAGACAGUGAAGAUAUAAUGCAAAUGAUAGACGAUGUUGCUGAUAUGAAGAAAGGCAAG
This is a non-coding RNA of Styela clava, 513 nucleotides long. Lineage: Eukaryota; Metazoa; Chordata; Ascidiacea; Stolidobranchia; Styelidae. The record is from RefSeq and is a predicted model, not a curated record.